CUAGCCGUAAACGAUGGAUACUAGGCGUUGUGAGUAUCGACCCUCACAGUGUCGUAGCUAACGCGUUAAGUAUCCCGCCUGGGGAGUACGCGCGCAAGCGCGAAACUCAAAGGAAUUGACGGGGGCCCGCACAAGCGGUGGAGUAUGUGGUUUAAUUCGAUGCAACGCGAAGAACCUUACCAGGACUUGACAUGUCGCGAAUCUCAGGGAAACUUGAGAGUGCCUUCGGGAGCGCGAAUACAGGUGGUGC
RNAcentral lists this ribosomal RNA (250 nucleotides) under uncultured Chroococcidiopsis sp. RNAcentral's name for it is "partial 16S ribosomal RNA". It matches the Rfam family "Bacterial small subunit ribosomal RNA", at positions 796 to 1044 of the family's 1533-position model. Lineage: Bacteria; Bacillati; Cyanobacteriota; Cyanophyceae; Chroococcidiopsidales; Chroococcidiopsidaceae. The record is from RNAcentral.